GUUCUAACAGAGCUAAGGCAAACAAACCGCCAACGUUACAGCUAUUAUGUCACAUCUACGAAUGAAGGGAUAAAGCCUGGAGAGCAGCAAUAGUUCAUGGUCCACAAGAAGAGAGACACUUGGAGAAGAAUCGUCUGUCUGGCCCAGACUUUGACUUCAUCAAACGUUCUCACAAGCUCCACCCACAUAUUUAAAGCAGGAAGAGAAACAUUUGUCAGAAGCUCUUACUGUAGUGACAAAACACAAAGAGAAAUGAAGACAGUGUGGAACAUUUGAGGGCAUUCUGCGUUUUUUUCCAUUUUGCAGUUGGAUGGUUAGAAGUGAACUUCAUGUUGAAGAAUCAGUCACAGUUCUGAUCAUCGUCUUGAACUUCUGACACUGCCGACUUUUGGGCUACAAGACUGCUGAAACGCUGGUCUUUGAACCUCCAUCACUGUCUGAUGGUAGACCUCGAUCAAAGUCAUCCCGGGAUUCUUUCACGUCUUUCAUCUGGAACAGCCAGACCGCACAGUCGGAGGAAGGGGGGCAGACUGCAGUUGUAUUGCAGGAGCCUGCAUUUUACAAUGCUUACAUCCCAUAUUAACCCAGAAUCUCUUAACAAGCUGCAGUCAGGCUGUUGAAGUGAGAGUCAGUCCUUCCUUGUUGAAUCACAGUGGAGUCCUUUUGCUCAAUUUUAAAGCCCUUUAGUGCUGAGAUGAAGGAACUUCCAUCAGAACAUUUCUUUCUCUCAGUAUAAACUCUGUUAUUUGUUUAACAAAUGAUGAGAGGCAACAUACAAACUGCAGCAAUCCAUGCAGAAUUUCAUGCCUGCAAACACGGUGCAUUUUCUGAAGGAGAUUCUUGCAUGCAUGUCAAAACCAUGUGACCAGACCAGAAUGAUAACAGCUUCUACUGCUGAUUACGCCCAGCCUUAUGAAUAAUGUGCAAGUCACUGUUUGGCAGGAAGACCUGAACACAAACAGCAGGUUGGAGAUUUUGGACUGAAGGUAGUUCCAGUCUUAUGAAACAAAAAAGAGAAAAAAAGAAAGAAUCACUGCAAAGCUGAAAAUCCAACCAAACCCAAACAAAUGCCUGAAAGAGCAGAAACCAAGCUUGGCAAAAAGGAAAAACAAACCAAGGACAGACAAUGAGGGCACGACAAAGCAAAACAGAAAAACAAAAAAACAGGUGAGUGAUAUAGCAGGUGUGUGGUGGGAAAAGAACAGCAAGAUAAUCAACAGGACUGAAAACAGGCUUACAGCAGGAGAAACAUGGAAAAAGCAAAGAAAAACUCCAGGAAAGACUGGUUCUGUGGGGUCAAAUCAGGAUCUGCUAAAGUGAAGGAAAAACACCUUUGAAAAUGUGAAAAAAAAA
This is a long non-coding RNA of Oryzias melastigma (Indian medaka), 1353 nucleotides long. RefSeq lists it as uncharacterized. Lineage: Eukaryota; Metazoa; Chordata; Actinopteri; Beloniformes; Adrianichthyidae. The record is from RefSeq and is a predicted model, not a curated record. The transcript has 2 exons.